AAUAGAUACCCAGGUAGUCCACGCCGUAAACGAUGAGUGCUAAGUGUUAGGGGGUUUCCGCCCCUUAGUGCUGCAGCUAACGCAUUAAGCACUCCGCCUGGGGAGUACGGUCGCAAGACUGAAACUCAAAGGAAUUGACGGGGGCCCGCACAAGCGGUGGAGCAUGUGGUUUAAUUCGAAGCAACGCGAAGAACCUUACCAGCUCUUGACAUCCUCUGACAAUCCUAGAGAUAGGACGUCCCCUUCGGGGGCAGAGUGACAGGUGGUGCAUGGUUGUCGUCAGCUCGUGUCGUGAGAUGUUGGGUUAAGUCCCGCAACGAGCGCAACCCUUGAUCUUAGUUGCCAGCAUUCAGUUGGGCACUCUAAGGUGACUGCCGGUGACAAACCGGAGGAAGGUGGGGAUGACGUCAAAUCAUCAUGCCCCUUAUGACCUGGGCUACACACGUGCUACAAUGGACAGAACAAAGGGCAGCGAAACCGCGAGGUUAAGCCAAUCCCACAAAUCUGUUCUCAGUUCGGAUCGC
This 524-nucleotide ribosomal RNA is filed under the name uncultured bacterium. RNAcentral's name for it is "bacterial SSU rRNA". It matches the Rfam family "Bacterial small subunit ribosomal RNA", at positions 777 to 1301 of the family's 1533-position model. The record is from RNAcentral.